RNAcentral lists this ribosomal RNA (254 nucleotides) under uncultured bacterium. RNAcentral describes it as "partial 16S ribosomal RNA". It matches the Rfam family "Bacterial small subunit ribosomal RNA", at positions 524 to 776 of the family's 1533-position model. The record is from RNAcentral.
UACGUAGGGUGCGAGCGUUAAUCGGAAUUACUGGGCGUAAAGAGCGCGCAGGCGGUCGUUCAAGUCGCGUGUGAAAGCCCCCCGGCUCAACUGGGGAGGGUCACGCGAUACUGAUCGACUCGAAGGCAGGAGAGGGUAGUGGAAUUCCCGGUGUAGUGGUGAAAUGCGUAGAUAUCGGGAGGAACACCAGUGGCGAAGGCGACUACCUGGCCUGUUCUUGACGCUGAGGCGCGAAAGCUAGGGGAGCAAACGGG